GACGAACGCUGGCGGCGUGCUUAACACAUGCAAGUCGAACGGAAAGGCCCUGCUUUUGUGGGGUGCUCGAGUGGCGAACGGGUGAGUAACACGUGAGUAACCUGCCCUUGACUUUGGGAUAACUUCAGGAAACUGGGGCUAAUACCGGAUAGGAGCUCCUGCUGCAUGGUGGGGGUUGGAAAGUUUCGGCGGUUGGGGAUGGACUCGCGGCUUAUCAGCUUGUUGGUGGGGUAGUGGCUUACCAAGGCUUUGACGGGUAGCCGGCCUGAGAGGGUGACCGGCCACAUUGGAACUGAGAUGCGGCCCAGACUCCUACGGGAGGCAGCAGUGGGGAAUAUUGCACAAUGGGCGGAAGCCUGAUGCAGCAACGCCGCGUGCGGGAUGACGGCCUUCGGGUUGUAAACCGCUUUCGCCUGUGACGAAGCGUGAGUGACGGUAAUGGGUAAAGAAGCACCGGCUAACUACGUG
Molecule: ribosomal RNA, 468 nt
Filed under: uncultured bacterium
Lineage: Bacteria
Description: partial 16S ribosomal RNA
Rfam family: Bacterial small subunit ribosomal RNA
Source: RNAcentral